This 252-nucleotide ribosomal RNA is filed under the name uncultured bacterium. RNAcentral's name for it is "partial 16S ribosomal RNA". It matches the Rfam family "Bacterial small subunit ribosomal RNA", at positions 524 to 776 of the family's 1533-position model. The record is from RNAcentral.
UACGGGGGGGCAAGCGUUGUUCGGAAUUACUGGGCGUAAAGGGCGUGUAGGCGGCCAACUAAGUCCGACGUGAAAUCCCCAGGCUUAACCUGGGAACUGCGUCGGAUACUGGAUGGCUUGAAUUCGGGAGAGGGAUGCAGAAUUCCAGGUGUAGCGGUGAAAUGCGUAGAUAUCUGGAGGAAUACCGGUGGCGAAGGCGGCAUCCUGGACCGACAUUGACGCUGAAGCGCGAAAGCUAGGGGAGCAAACGGG